Small nucleolar RNA from Cyprinodon variegatus (sheepshead minnow), 83 nucleotides. NCBI's taxonomy places the organism in Eukaryota, Metazoa, Chordata, Actinopteri, Cyprinodontiformes, Cyprinodontidae. The record is from Ensembl.
CGACAGCGGUGAUGAUGACGACAUCAUGUCAUUUUACUGAAUAUAUUUGAUGGUUUUAAGUCACUACCUCAUCUGAGCUGUCG